GGAUCGAUGAUGACUUCCUCAUUCUGCAUUCCUUGGAAAAGCUGAACAAAAUGAGUGAGAACUCCCUACCCCAUUCACACCC
RNAcentral lists this small nucleolar RNA (82 nucleotides) under Ursus maritimus (polar bear). RNAcentral describes it as "Small nucleolar RNA SNORD116 (ENSUMAG00000025598.1)". It matches the Rfam family "Small nucleolar RNA SNORD116", at positions 1 to 81 of the family's 92-position model. Rfam says of the family: HBII-85 is a member of the C/D class of snoRNAs, which contain the C (UGAUGA) and D (CUGA) box motifs. HBII-85 is encoded in a tandemly repeated array with another C/D snoRNA, HBII-52, in the Prader-Willi syndrome (PWS) region of chromosome 15. The record is from RNAcentral. Lineage: Eukaryota; Metazoa; Chordata; Mammalia; Carnivora; Ursidae.